GACGAACGCUGGCGGCAUGCCUAACACAUGCAAGUCGAACGGAACCUUCCGGUCUUUUGGCGCACGGGUACUUAACGCGUGGGAACCUGCCCUUAAGUUCGGAAUACCUCCCCGUGAGGGGUCCUAAUACAAGAGAAUGUCUUCGGACCAAAGAUUUAUCGCCUUUGGGUGGGCCCGCGUUCGAUUAGCUAGUUGGUAGUGUAAAAGCCUACCAAGGCGAGGAUCCAUAGCUGGUCUGAUAGGAUGAUCUGCCACGCUGGGACUGAGACACGGCCCAGUCCCCUACGCAGGGCAGCAGUGGGGAAUAUAGGACACUGAGGCCAAGCGUGAUCAAGCAACGCGGGGGAAGAGAUGAAGGCCUUAGGGUUGUAAAGCUCUCUUACCCGGGAUGAUAAUGACAGUACCGGGAGAAUAAGCACCGGCUAACUACGUG
This 433-nucleotide ribosomal RNA is filed under the name uncultured bacterium. RNAcentral's name for it is "partial 16S ribosomal RNA". It matches the Rfam family "Bacterial small subunit ribosomal RNA", at positions 28 to 507 of the family's 1533-position model. The record is from RNAcentral.